Molecule: long non-coding RNA, 1006 nt
Filed under: Capra hircus (goat)
Lineage: Eukaryota; Metazoa; Chordata; Mammalia; Artiodactyla; Bovidae
Description: lncRNA (ENSCHIG00010006022.1)
Source: RNAcentral
AACACUCUCCUCCUCGGGCUGCACGCUCACUCCUCGGCCCCUCACCUCCCACCCACCCCACUGAGAAGACAGCCCAACUCGGCAGGGACACGGGCACAGCCUGACUCUUCCUCAGCAGCUCCAUUGGCCUCCACGCACACAGGCUAGCGCUUUGCACCUUUUCCUGGAUAAACACUAUUCUCGAUGGCUCCCCCUCUCCUGCUGACAGAACCUGUUCCCUGUCUUGGUGGAGCUCCUUGGGAGGGAAACUCCACACGCAGCCCCACUGGGGACACAAGACCCUUGUUUGGAUGAUCCAGCCACCCCAGGGUCUGAGUGUCCACUGCCCAGGCAGGGAUGACACCCUCCUGAGGCUGAUGGAUGACAUCAUUCCCAGUACUUCCCUGGAGCCACGGGGAGAGCAAGAAGUCUCUCUGUCUUUAAACAGCUGAUUAUCCAUUUAUUGAAAAGGCUGACUUAAGCAUCUGCAGUGGUGACUUUCUGGGCUUCCCAGGAUGACUCAGUGGUAAAGAAUCCACCUGCCAAUGCAGGAGACGCAGGAGAUGUGUGUUCAAACCCUGAGUUGAGAAGAUCUCCCAGAGGAGGGCACGGCAACCCACUCCAGUUUUGUUCCCUGGGAAAUUCCAUGGACGGAGGAGCCUUGUGGGCUACAGUCUUUGGGGUGGCAGAGUCGGACACGACUGAUUGAGCACACACAAUGGUGAAUUCUGUCUCAACUCCUGGCUCAGUAGGUGGGAGAGAUCCGCGUGAUGACCUCAGAAGGACAGUGCAGGCUGGCGAGUCGCUGGUGGAUUCUCACUCGGGAAGGAUUCCAAGUCUUAGAACCUUAGAACCAUUCCUCGUGGUGAUUCUCAGAGUCCUGGUGGGCAUCCGAACUCUGAGGCUCUUUUCCUUCGCGCCUCUGAUCAGGAGUGCGCUGUCCGGCAUGACCAGUGCCCAGCACAAACCAUGUCCAGAUUACAGCGAGUGAUGCCCUGACGGCAGCUACUUGGAUCUGGAAACCAAG